This 198-nucleotide ribosomal RNA is filed under the name Triticum aestivum (bread wheat). Its description in RNAcentral is "partial small subunit ribosomal RNA". The record is from RNAcentral. Lineage: Eukaryota; Viridiplantae; Streptophyta; Magnoliopsida; Poales; Poaceae.
AUGUCGGUCGAUGGUGUGAAAACACUUCCUGAUGUCGAAUUCCAAAAACCAGCGAGAGGUUCCCCACUCUUCUUUGAUCCGUCUGAGGGCCGAGUGGCAGCGACCCGAGCGGAAGUGCGAUGUGUCUAGAAACUCGGGAUCGUAAAUGGAUUCGGGUACCAUUCUGAUCGCCUCUUUCAUGAUCUUUUCUAUGGGUAG